Molecule: ribosomal RNA, 316 nt
Filed under: uncultured bacterium
Lineage: Bacteria
Description: bacterial SSU rRNA
Rfam family: Bacterial small subunit ribosomal RNA
Source: RNAcentral
GACGAACGCUGGCGGCGCGCCUAACACAUGCAAGUCGAACGGAGUUACAUUGAAAGCUUGCUGGAUAUGUAACUUAGUGGCGGACGGGUGAGUAACACGUGAGUAAUCUGCCUUCCAGAGGGGAAUAACGUUUGGAAACGAACGCUAAUACCGCAUAACGUACGGUCCUCACAUGGGGACUGUACCAAAGAUUUUAUCGCUGGAAGAUGAGCUCGCGGCCGAUUAGGUAGUUGGUGAGGUAACGGCCCACCAAGCCGACGAUCAGUAGCCGACCUGAGAGGGUGACCGGCCACAUUGGGACUGAGACACGGCCCAG